Molecule: ribosomal RNA, 216 nt
Filed under: uncultured bacterium
Lineage: Bacteria
Description: partial 16S ribosomal RNA
Rfam family: Bacterial small subunit ribosomal RNA
Source: RNAcentral
CCUCAGUUCGGACUGGAGUCUGCAACCCGACUCCACGAAGCUGGAUUCGCUAGUAAUCGCGCAUCAGCCACGGCGCGGUGAAUACGUUCCCGGGCCUUGUACACACCGCCCGUCACACCAUGAGAGUUGGGAAUACCCGAAGCCUGUGAGCUAACAUUUAUGAGGCAGCAGUCGAAGGUAGAAUCAAUGAUUGGGGUGAAGUCGUAACAAGGUAUC